AUGGCGCUCCUCCAGUGCACCCGGCCUGUGUCUGCGGCGGCACCGGCGGCGGCUGUCGCCACCUCCGUGCCAGGUGCCGGCUCCACGCCCCCAGCGCCGCCGCCGCCUCUCACCGCCGCUGUGCUCGCCGCGGCAGCCCUUGCCUCCCGCAUGGCCGCCCCAACCGCUGGUGGCCGUUUCUCCGAAGCUGGCGACCUCCCCGUCCUGCAGCAAUUCUCGUCUGAUGCUCGGCCCGAUUUGGAUCAGGAGCAAGCUGCGCUGGGCCGGCUCGUCCUAGUUGGCGGCGUUUCCAUGGAGGUGCCGCCAGGCAAGUCCGCUGCUCCGGCUCUGCCGGCCGCUUCUGUCUCGGCAUCGCGUGGUCUUGACUGCAAUGGUAUGAGCUCCGAUGUGGAUGUAGAUGUGGAGAUGGCGCUGCAGACGCCGCUGGCCUCGGCUAGUGCAGACCAGCUGACCCGCCGGCCGCAUUCUGUGUUGUGGGCUUCCGCUGCUGAUGAAGAUGACGACAUGGAUGACAGUGAGGAUCUAGCCCCCAGGACUCCGCCGGCUGCUGCCAAGGCCAUCGACUCCGUCUCCGCCAAGGUGUGCACGGGGCACGGGCCGGACACAAGAGGGAGUUGGCAGGAGGUGCUGCCGUGGCGAGGUCCCUGGCAUCCGUCAUCACCGGCCCUGCCAUUGGCUGCUCGCCCCAUCCCUACUUGGCUGUAUUGCAGAUGCUGCAGAUGCCUUGCUCCUGGGCACUGUGCGGCUGCUUGCAAAGAUCCACUUCGGUGUUCCCGAUGUUUGUAG
Molecule: ribosomal RNA, 786 nt
Filed under: Triticum aestivum (bread wheat)
Lineage: Eukaryota; Viridiplantae; Streptophyta; Magnoliopsida; Poales; Poaceae
Description: partial small subunit ribosomal RNA
Source: RNAcentral